This 83-nucleotide non-coding RNA is filed under the name fish gut metagenome. Its description in RNAcentral is "Glycine riboswitch". It matches the Rfam family "Glycine riboswitch aptamer", at positions 9 to 86 of the family's 94-position model. From Rfam's summary of the family: This family represents the bacterial glycine riboswitch. The record is from RNAcentral.
GAGCUCUGGAGAAGCCUAAUCUCGAAUUAGGUGCCGAAGGUGCAAGAGUUAUACUCGAAUCUCUCAGGCAAAAGGACAGAGUC